CUAAUCUCUGUGAGGAACCACAGACCCCAAGGCUGGAAACUUCCAGAAUCCUCCAGCCCCUGAUCCUCCUCGGGGACCCCUGUGGCCUGUCUCACUGAGCAGUCUUCCAUUGUAGAUGUCUCGGCUGCCCUACAAGGGAGUCUCUUUUCAGGAGUGGGAACAGGUAUGGUCACUGCUGCUCGAUGUCUAGAAAGUAGGAACCAAGAACCUAUGGAAAUACCAGGCACAGCCUUUCCAUUGUCCUCCAGAGCAGGACAAACAGUCCAGGUGAUGUCAGGAGCCCAGGUCUCCAGCUGGAGGGAACGUCAACCCUACAGUGGUAGCAGGGGCCCAUCGCACAUCCUAGGAACAAAUGGUAACGUAGGCAUCACAGGUAAGCUGGGCUUGGUACCCCUCCCUGGCUUCCGAAAGAAGCCAAACAAGGAGCUUUCUGCAGAAUGAAAUCUCUUUUUCAUCCAGAAGCACUGCUGACUGUUUGGUGAUUGCCAUUGUGGCAUUGAGCUUUUUGUCCAUUCUGAUGUUGGACUGGUUUCUCCUCUUGACCCUGGCCUACAGACCAUAAAGGAGAACAGCAAGAGGCCCCCAGCAAACAUCCACAGAUGGCCCUGGACAUCAGCCAGAUUCUGAGAAACAUGUCAUGUUUUGGGAGGGCUAAGGCAUCAACCUCACCCUGCAGGAAUCCCAGUGAAUAUAUUGCCACCAUCCUGGAGCUGCAUAGUGUAAUGGCACCAGCAGAUCUGCCUGUUCACAGACUUCCUGUACUACCCAGUCCUGAGGAGAGAUGCUUCUUCAGGGUCUGUGACCUGGAGCACAACUUUACACACCAUCAUCCUGGAGCAGCACUGCACCCUCACUAGCCAGGGUGUUGAUGACUUCCUCAAGGCCAAGGCCACAUUCAAGAUUUUUGACUUCAGUGAUGCGUUUGUGCUGGGCAAGUUGGACUUCUAAGGGAUCUUAAUUCAGGAGAUAGAAUGCAGCUUGAGAUCAACUGUCUGAUCAAAUAAUUUGAACUUGAUCUGGAGGGCUCUGGGGAGCCAUGGAAAGUAGUGGAUAAAUGAGGGACAGUCAGAUAUGUUUUAGAGAUUAUAGUGGAAGAAUGCCUGGAAGGGAUGAACAAGAGCCAGGAGACCAGGGAGGGAGCUUGUGGGGAGGUCUGGAGAUGGCAAGGGAGGGAUCCUGCUUGAAUAAAGGGUCUUCAGGGACUGUCGCAGGUGCUCUCAGAGCAAGUGUGUUCAGAAGUCUUGUCUCCAGGAGAAAAUGGGAAGGAGGUGUCAGACAAGGAAAUAUAAAUGGAAGCUAGCAUGUUUAUGAGUGCCAAUCGUGGCGCCGGUGUGGACUACUGUGGGAACAGGAGUCUCUCCAUCCAGAGACAUGGUGGAUGGACCCUAUAUCUCUCCAUGCUGCCAUUCCUUUCCCUCCCAUUCUCCUGAGGGCCUCAGUGCAUGGGCACUGUCCAACCUCUGGUGCUGAAGCAGCCAAGAGGCCCAAGACUGGGUGGCUGCCACUUAGGAUAUGACAGCACAGCCAGUGGCCUCCACUGCAUCCCGUACAACCUCUGAAGACACCCAGACACUGAGAGUGCAGCCACCACGUGGUGCAAGAGUUCUGAGGGAUCGCAAUCCUGAAGACGAUGAAUGGAGGGUGCAGGACCUCAUGGCCUGUUCCCCAUCCCCUCUCAUUGGCUCUGCUCCAGGUGGUGAAGGGGCAUAACGUUUCUGUCAGUUCUGCCAUGCUUGCCUAGCAGGAAAAGGAGCAGAGUCCAGAAGCAGAGCCCUGUACCCAGCCUGCCUAACAAGGGAGAAUUUGUAGGCUUUGUGGACAGAGAGAGCUGGGAGUCCAUACCUUCACCCACUAACUUGCUGAGAUAUUGGUAAAAUCAGUUCUUUUCUGAA
This is a long non-coding RNA of Piliocolobus tephrosceles (Ugandan red Colobus), 1892 nucleotides long. RefSeq lists it as uncharacterized. The record is from RefSeq and is a predicted model, not a curated record. The transcript has 2 exons. NCBI's taxonomy places the organism in Eukaryota, Metazoa, Chordata, Mammalia, Primates, Cercopithecidae.